RNAcentral lists this long non-coding RNA (830 nucleotides) under Homo sapiens (human). Its description in RNAcentral is "HSALNT0132374". Lineage: Eukaryota; Metazoa; Chordata; Mammalia; Primates; Hominidae. The record is from RNAcentral.
AUUGAAAUGGAAGAAAUCAGGUAUAAGAAGCAUGCUGUGAUAUUGAGUCAAUUGGUUGCCCAAUCACAGACAUCUUUCACUGACAGAGUAACAGCAAUGCUCAUUUUCAAAUCAUAUGAGAAGGCCUUGCUAACUGAUGGUCGAUGCUCACAGGUGUGUGGGCUUUGAGCAGUCGCUACACCUUCCCUCUUCAGGCAUGAUGAGAGGAUUCCUGCAGCGUUUUGCAAGAGGGGUUGUGAGGAUGCUUCUGGAUUCCAAGUCAAGUUCAUGACUUAUUCAUAAACAUAUAUUUAACUCAUGUAACGUUAGAAACAGCUCUCUGAAGCCAACCCAAGUGCAAUAACAUCCCUCCCAAUGGGGUGGAUUCUACUUAAUUUUGCUGGUGCUGGCAGUGUGUGCAUAUUAUUUUGACUGGGAACAUAUUAUUAGUGAGGAUGGCCCUACAUCCUGGUAAUAAUACAUGUUAGCCCUUUAGAAGGCAAUCAAAUAAAUGUGACAGUAGCCAAGUGUGUUAGUGUCCCGAAAGAGGUGUUCUGCGACACGGGGAAGGCUAUCUCCAUAACGAAAUCAAGAAAUAUUCUUUUCCCAGCCUUGUGUUCUCUCUGACUCAUUUUAUUUUUAUUAUUUGUAGUUUUUGAGACAGGGCCUCACUCUGUCACUCAAGCUAGAGUACAGAGGCACGAUCACAGUCACUCCAGCCUCCAUCUCCAGGACUCAAGCAAUCCUCCCACCUCAGCCUCCUGAGUAACUGGGACUACAAACGCAUGCCAUCAUGCCUAGCUAAUUUUUUUGUAUUUUUUUUGUAGAGAUGAAGUUUCAUCAUGUUGUCC